AGGAUCUUGUGUUUGUGGCCUCCGCAGCCAGCUUAGGCUGCUCGGUGUCGUGUCGCAGUUAUGUACUGCCAUUUAUUAUGACUCUUAGAAUAUAGUUAUUUCUUACUCUUCCGCUGCCUCCUUUGCUUUUAAAGCCUGUUCUGCCAAGUCUCGCUGGAGAAGGAAACCCCUGAAACUGGUCCUGGUGGUCUCAGACCGCCGCGCGAGCGAAGAGUGGGGAGGACAAAGGUUGGGGAGUUGAGAAGGAUGGAGAUGGGUGCAUCUGGAAGGGAGUCCGUCCUGAGGAGUCCCCCAUCAGCUGUCAGCCAGCCAGCAGCAAAGCAAAUUAAGACUACACAGCUCCGAAGAAGCCAGUUCCCAACCAAGCCAGUGGAGAAAAGUCAGCCCGGUCCCCAGGAGUGCUUGAGGCUCUGUCACUCUUGGACGUCAAAAAGGGUCAUUUGAUGACUGGACGCUUACCUCACCGGUGUGAGGUAAGCUUCAAACGCCGUAUCAUGUUGCUUUAAAACCUGCGGGUAACAGCAUAAGCUGAGUUUUCUAUCUUAGAACUCUUAACCCCAAGAACACUCUUCACAGGCCCUGAUAGGUGGACCCACAAAAAAACCACUCAGGCUAUAUUUGACUCGGAUUUGAAACGCUGCCGAAACGGUAUUAAGUGUCCUCCUCAACUGGAAAAGACAAAUAACAAAUGAUGCCUGAAUGAGAAAAAGACUAGACGUGCACACAGUAAUGUGUGAGCAGGGAAACUUCAGCGAAGGUUUUUAUCAUGCUUUACCCCUUUUACAUGCUUUACCCCAUGUGCAAACAUUUUUCAUGGGUUUUUUUCUAUUUUUUAUUUAUUUUUAUUCUAUUUUUUUAUUUAUACACAAAAAAGUUUCAAUGAUUUUUUAAAGAGUAAUAGUUUUAAUAUGUUACAUUUAAACUUUGACGAUGCAAACAGGUUGUCAAGAGAAGCAACUGAGCAUUGUUUGGUUGUUACAGUUCUGUACACUUGCAAGGAUGAGGGGAAGGGAACUGAAGUUUAGCGUGUCACUGUGGAUCAGGCACUUUCCAAAUGUAGAAGAAAAUGAACAGAAACAUUUCACCUGUUUUGAUGUGGAAAUUUAACCGUUUUGUUUUUCAACCUUUGCUGUUGCAAAGUAUUAAAGUCCUGUGCAGUUUUGCAAAUAUAUCUCACCGCAGAAAGAUCUCCUUUCCUAAGAAGACUGGGAAGAACGGCUUUCCACUUGCCAGUAAUGUGUCCUCUGGUUUCAAUUGAGCCAUCAGUGUCUGUACUCCAGCCUGGGCUACCAAGCGAUACCCCACCUCUGAAAAAAGGGUAGCAAGGGGACAGAGAAGAGCUGUCUGGAUACACGAGAUUCCAAAAACCUAAUCCUGAGAUAAAAUUCCCUAGGGAAUUGCUCUACCGAGAGUAGAGAUUUGACCUGGAAAGAGAAGGGAGAGAAGUAUUUAAUCAUUAACUCUUUUAAUCCUCCCAACAACCUUUUUAGUAUCAUUUUUCAAAUGAGGAAACUGAAAUGUAGAAAGAUUAUGUACACUGUUGAAGGUAACACUAAGCCACUGCCUCCUUCAUAUCAAGAAUAGUUGUUCAUCGAGCAAAUAAAGUGAGGGAAAGACAUUACAAGCAGAGAAAUCAACAUACACACUAUUGUGGCUGGACUUCAGGCUACAGGGUGGUUCCAAAUAUUUAUUGACAAGGCCCUGUGUUACGUGCUGAGGAUACAGAGAUAAAUAAACCAGCUGUCCUAAAGCCGCUGACACUAGUGAGAGAAACCUUAAAAAAAAUACAAUGCAGACUAAAUAAGUGCUGUGAUAGAGGCUAAUGUUCACGGUAUUGGAAAAUGAUAAGAAAACAGCAGCCGGAGAGAAUGUGAGAAAGCCAGUGAAGGUGCUGCUUUAGCAGAGUCCAAAUGUCAAGAGUUAUCCCCUACUAACCCUGAAAUUGUUCUGGGAUAGGGUCUAAAGAAUGAAAUCCAAAGAACAACAGAGAAGAACACCAGAGAAUACUUGGAGAGAGGAAACAAAUUGCUCUAACCAAUGGAGUUUUAAAUGGUCUAGUUUAAAAUAGGUUGAAUUUACCUAGGUGUUAUGAGAACUUAAGAACUUACAUAAGUGGCAUUCAUUGGUAUGGUCAAAGAGGUUAGGUAAGGCUUCUUUGAGGAAGUCACACCAGAAUGGAGAUCCAAAAGAUGAGAAACUGAAAAAGGGAGAGUGGGAAACAGAGGGAAUAUCAUGUGUAAAGCCUUUUUGUCAGAAGGGAACACUGCAAGCCUGAGGGACUGAAAGGAGGCUAUUGUGGCUAGAGCCUAGGUUGCAGGGAGAAAGUGCACCAGUUUGAAGCUGGAGACCAGAUUAAGCAGAGUCUUAUUGGCCAUAUUAAGAACUGUAAUCUUAAGAGAAAAAGGGAGGGGGAGGGCAUUUGACAUGAUUGGAUCUGUGUUUUGAAAAGAUCAUUCCAGCUGCAGUGUGGGAACACAAGCAGAGCCAGCACUGGACUAAUUAAAUCUAUGAGUGGUGUUAGUGUUGGUAGGCAUGCAAGUGGCUUGGGGUAGGAACAAGGAGAUGGACAGAAGUGGGGGAAAUGGAACAAUAGGAAGUAAAGUGGAAGGUCUUGGUGAUGGAUUCAAAUAUCAUGGGGUGGGAUGGGGACUGAGGGAGAGGGAGGAGUCAGAUAACUCAGAAUUUCUAGCAGACCCAGUGGGUGGAUAGUAAUGCCAUCAUUGAGAUAUGGAGGACACUGGAAGAGAGCCAGGUUUGGGGGAAGAGGGUAAUUUCAAUUUGAACACGUUAAGUUUAAGAUAUUUUUGUGACUUCAAGGGAAGAUGUAAACAUUGGAAUCUUUAGGUCUGCAGCACUGGGCUGGAGAAAAAAAUAUAUAUUACCAUUUGCAAUUUUUUGUUUUCUGCAGGGUACUUAUUUUUUCAAAAUACAUAUGUCUUUAUUGUAAAUAAGAUGUUUUGUUUUUAAACAUAUUUAGACGCACUUGAACCCAGGAGCCAGAGGGUUGCAGUGAGCUGAGAUGUCACCAUUGCACUCCAACCUGGGCAACAAGAGCAAAACUCAGUCUCAAAAAAUAAAUAAAAAUAUAUUGAGAACAGAAUUUUAAACUAGAGCAGUUUCCCAGACUUCUCUGAGAGUCACCAGUGUCCCUUAUCAAAAACUCAAAUUCUCAGGCCCAUCCCCUAGAGAUUCUGAUUUCACUUGUCUGGUAUAGGGGGCCUGGAAAUGUGGAUUUUUUGACAAAUGCCACUGGAGAUUCUUCUUAUUGCUGAGUUUCUCUGGGAAGUGGUAUGCCAGUGCCAGAGGCUACCUGCAUAAGAGUCACCACAGUGCUUAUUGAAAUAUAGAUUCUCGGGCCCUGCAGACUAAAUCUAUAGGGAUAGAAGGGUUGUGAGGAAUGGAAAAAGGAACAUGGUACCAUGUCAGGUGGUCCAAGACCUCACCCUUCAUCUUUGACAGAGAUGUUCUGCGCGUCCCACUGGGCAGCCCAGAGGAAAGUGGAUGUCCCUUGCUGGGUGAUGCGUAUUUAGGCAGCAGGCAGCCCUCACAGUCUGCAAUGAUAACAGCUCUUAACCUAGGCCUUCUGCCCUGUCCACUGACAUGGCACUCAGCCCACUUAGAUAGUCUCUUUUUCCACCAUUCUUAUCAAGGCCCAUUGUUCCCUCCUGGCCCCCAAAUCUUUUUCAAUGUUAUUUCCAGCACCCUGUCUUUUUACUCCUGGUUCAGGUGUUUUUCAGCCAAUCUCUGUGGCCAGAGCUGGGAGAGAAAUUGGGUCAAAUGCUAUGUUUCAGUCUUGACAAGGCUUUUUUGUUCUUGAGAACCGACUUUGGAAGUGUUUUUAAAGACUGAGCUGUGUCAGGGAGGAAAAACUUUUCCUCUGCGCUCUCUUGUUUCCUCUUUGGGGGCCUGCAAAUUAAAACAACAAAGAUAGCAAGAGAAAAAAGACAUUUAAUUACAUAUGUACACACACACAGAGAGAGGGAGAAAGAAAGAGAAAUUCACAAAUAACUGACCCUAGGUGGUUAGAAUUUAGAGCUUAUAUACCAUCUUAAUAGGGGACAAAGAAGGGCAGAGAGGCCCUUCUAGGAGAGUAAAUGACUUCUUCAAAGGAAGUGAGGGAGAGACAAAGCAUUUAGAGAAAACAAAACACUUUUUGGAAAGAUAAAUGGACUUUUAGGAGAAUAGAUGGAAGAUACGAUAGUUUUGUAGCAAUGUCUGGGUGUGGUGCAGAUGUCUCCUCAGAGAAGAAAAUAUUAGAAUUGCUCCCCAGGAGGGGAUUUAUUACAAUUGAGGUCUUUUGGGAGGCUUUACUUUUAGGCACAUAAGGGAUUUCAGGAACUCAAGUCCUUCAGCUCAAAAUAACUUUUAUGCCAUGGUAGCUUAUUCUGAACCCCUUCAAUUAUUUGUUCUUGUAGUCUUGCUGUAGCAAUCCCAAGUCUCUUUGAGACACUGUAGAUGCUUUGGAAUAGAGGAAGAAUCAGAACAUAUGAAGAAAAGAAAUGAUUAGAAUGAUUUGUUGGUGAUGGCAAGCAUACAGAAAAGUUUCUAAAACUGAAGUAUACUAUUGAGCACGAUAACACACUCAUGUAACCCCAUAUGGGCCAAAGUAGAACAUUCAACACUCCAAAAGGCCCCAAUGUGCUCCUUCCCUUAUAACCUUCAAGUGCCUAGAGAUGGCCACAUCAUGAUUAUUACCAUAUUUACUUUCUUGUUUUUCUUUCUGGUUUUACUGCCUAAUUACUCAUCCUUAAACAAUAUUAUUUUUGAGCUCUAUGUAAAUGGAAUCACAGAGUUUUUCAUUUACAUGUCUUGAACUUUUUUGAUCAAUCUGUCUUUAAGAUUUACCCAUGUUGAUAUGGCUGUAGUUUAUUCAUUUUCAUUGCUGUAGGUUACUAUAUUGCAUUGGUGUAUCAUAAUUUAUUCUACUGCUGAUGGACAUAUAGGCUAUUUCUAGCUUUAGGCUAUUAUAAGCAAUGCUGCUGUGAAAGUUUGUGUAAACACACACACAUAUGUAUGUUCUCUUUAAGUACAUAUGUGUGUGUGUGUGUGAAUGUAUAUAUAUAUAUAUAUAUAUGUUCUAGAGCAUAUAAACACAGAUUUCUUUGGAGUCUUUACCUUGGUAUGUAAUUCCUGGUUUGUAGAGCAUGUAUAUAUUAAUAUAUUCAGUUUUACAAGAUCGUGCCAAAAUUUUCCAAAAUGAUUGUACCAAUUUAUAUAACCAACAACAAUAUACAAAAGUUUCUGUUGCACUACAUCCUCACCAACACUUGAUAUUGUCAGACAUUUUAAGUUUUAUUACUGUAAUGAAUGUGUAAUGCUGUUUUAUUGUGGCUCUAUUUUGCAUUUCCCUGAUUUUUAAUGAAGAAUAGCCCCUUUUUAUAUGAGUGUUGUCUAAUUGUUUAGGUCUUUCCCCAUUUUUCUGUUGGGUUGUUUGUAUUUUUCUUACUUUUUGUAUUAAUCUGUUAUAUAAUGUUGAAACAAGUUUUAUUGAUUAUAUGUGCUACAAAUGUUUUUCCCACUUUGUGGCUUGUACUUUCACUGUCUUAAUGUCUUUUGAUGAAACCAAGUUGUCAGUGGAGUAGAAUUCAUCACUCUUCCCUUAUGAUUAAUGAUAUCUGUAUCCUAUUUAAGAAAUAUUUUCCAACCCUAAGAUCAUUAAGACUUUUAUAUUGUCUUCUAAAAUUUUAUUGCUUUGCUUUUUAAAUUUUGGUCUAGGCAGACCUGCAAUUAAUGUUCUUACAUAUGGAGAAAGGGAGGCAUAUAUAGAUCCCCAACCCCUUCCAUGUGGAAAAUUAGACUAGCACCAUUUGUUGAAAGAUGGUCCUCUCUGCCCUACCCUGCAGUGCCAUCUUGAUCAUGAACCAAGUAGUCAUAUAAGUAUGGAGUUGUUUCUGACCUUGGUAUUCUUUCCAUUAGUCUAUUAUCUUUUUUUGUAUGUUGCUGGAUUCAAUAUACUCACAUUUUGUUUAAGAUUUCAGGGGAUCUCACAAAUAAGACUGACCUGUAAUUUUCCUUUUGGUAAUGUCUUUCUCUGAAUUUGGUAUCAAAAUAUGCUAGCUACCUUCAUUAAAUGAGUUGGGGAAUACACUUUCUUUUUCCUAUUCAGUUGUCUUUUUUACCCAUUUAUUCUUCUUGUUUUUGGAAUCAAGUUGUCAAGAACCCCCAAAACUCUAUGUGGAUUUUUAUUAAAAUUUCUGUUUGUAUAUUAAUUUCAGGGAAAACAAUAUUCUUCUAUAUGAGCCUUUCCUUUCAGUAAUCUGCAUUUAUUCAAGUGUCCUCAUAUAUGUUUUCCAAAAAUUUUAUCAUUUUCAUUAUAUAGGUCAUGUAUCUUAUAGGAGGCAGAAUUCUAAAGUCCCUCUAAGUUUUCCACCCCUAGUCAGUAAAACACUAAUCUAGGCACUGCUAAGAAUGUACAGAUGUAAUUAAAUUUAUAGAUCUUAAAGUAGGGAAAUUAUUGUAGAUAUCUGGUUGGCCCAGUCUAACCAAUUGAGCCCUCAUAAAAAGAGAAAUUUCUUCAGCUGGAGUCAGUCAGAUGUGGCAAAAAAGAAAAGCUGAGAAAAGAUGAGGCAGAAAGAUCAGAGACAUUCAAAUCAUAAAAAGGCUUGAUGCCACCACGUGGUGGCUCACACCUGUAAUCUCAGCACUUUGGGAGGCUGAGGCGGGC
Molecule: long non-coding RNA, 6664 nt
Filed under: Homo sapiens (human)
Lineage: Eukaryota; Metazoa; Chordata; Mammalia; Primates; Hominidae
Description: non-protein coding lnc-HOXD13-3:4
Source: RNAcentral